GACCAUCUCCUAAGGCUAAAUACUCUCUAGUGACCGAUAGUGAACCAGUACCGUGAGGGAAAGGUGAAAAGUACCCCGGAAGGGGAGUGAAAGAGAACUUGAAACCGUGUGCUUACAAGUAGUCAGAGCCCGUUAAUGGGUGAUGGCGUGCCUUUUGUAGAAUGAACCGGCGAGUUACGAUCUGAUGCAAGGUUAAGCAGAAAAUGUGGAGCCGUAGCGAAAGCGAGUCUGAAUAGGGCGAAUGAGUAUUUGGUCGUAGACCCGAAACCAGGUGAUCUACCCUUGGUCAGGUUGAAGUUCAGGUAACACUGAAUGGAGGACCGAACCGACUUACGUUGAAAAGUGAGCGGAUGAACUGAGGGUAGCGGAGAAAUUCCAAUCGAACUUGGAGAUAGCUGGUUCUCUCCGAAAUAGCUUUAGGGCUAGCCUCAAGUGAUGAUUAUUGGAGGUAGAGCACUGUUUGGACGAGGGGCCCCUCUCGGGUUACCGAAUUCAGACAAACUCCGAAUGCCAAAUAAUUUAACUUGGGAGUCAGAAUGUGGGUGAUAAGGUCCAUAUUCGAAAGGGAAACAGCCCAGACCACCAGCUAAGGUCCCAAAAUAUAUGUUAAGUGGAAAAGGAUGUGGCGUUGCCCAGACAACUAGGAUGUUGGCUUAGAAGCAGCCAUCAUUUAAAGAGUGCGUAAUAGCUCACUAGUCGAGUGACACUGCGCCGAAAAUGUACCGGGGCUAAACAUAU
This 738-nucleotide ribosomal RNA is filed under the name Staphylococcus pseudintermedius. RNAcentral describes it as "partial 23S ribosomal RNA". It matches the Rfam family "Bacterial large subunit ribosomal RNA", at positions 451 to 1191 of the family's 2925-position model. The record is from RNAcentral. Lineage: Bacteria; Bacillati; Bacillota; Bacilli; Caryophanales; Staphylococcaceae.